UAGGGAAUCUUCGGCAAUGGACGAAAGUCUGACCGAGCAACGCCGCGUGAGUGAAGAAGGUUUUCGGAUCGUAAAACUCUGUUGUUAGAGAAGAACAAGGACGUUAGUAACUGAACGUCCCCUGACGGUAUCUAACCAGAAAGCCACGGCUAACUACGUGCCAGCAGCCGCGGUAAUACGUAGGUGGCAAGCGUUGUCCGGAUUUAUUGGGCGUAAAGCGAGCGCAGGCGGUUUCUUAAGUCUGAUGUGAAAGCCCCCGGCUCAACCGGGGAGGGUCAUUGGAAACUGGGAGACUUGACUGCAGAAGAGGAGAGUGGAAUUCCAUGUGUAGCGGUGAAAUGCGUAGAUAUAUGGAGGAACACCAGUGGCGAAGGCGGGUCUCUGGUCUGUAACUGACGCUGAGGCUCGAAAGCGUGGGGAGCAAACAGG
This 429-nucleotide ribosomal RNA is filed under the name Gemmatimonadota bacterium. RNAcentral's name for it is "Gemmatimonadetes bacterium partial 16S ribosomal RNA". It matches the Rfam family "Bacterial small subunit ribosomal RNA", at positions 355 to 776 of the family's 1533-position model. The record is from RNAcentral. Lineage: Bacteria; Pseudomonadati; Gemmatimonadota.